AAUUUUCAAACUAAACUGUAGUGUAAAACGCGUGUUUUUAUUCUGUUAAUACAGAUUGGCAUAGGUAUACAUAAGAACACAAAAAAUAAUAAUAAUCAUAAUACAAUCGUUUCACUUAUAUAAUAAUAUAUUUAUAAUAUCAACUACCUAAAUUAUUAAACUGGAAGCUUAUUACCGAUUAUAUAUAGGGUGGCCUCAUUUAAAAUCGUAAUUACAAUAACUAUUAUUGUAUCGUUCAAUAUACGAGAGUGCAGUUUAAUUGACAACAAAUGCAAAAGACUUAUAUUAUACGAAUAUUAAGCAGUUCAAUUAUUCUC
Cinara cedri is the source of this 317-nucleotide non-coding RNA. The record is from the annotation of a GenBank genome assembly. Lineage: Eukaryota; Metazoa; Arthropoda; Insecta; Hemiptera; Aphididae.